GACGAACGCUGGCGGCGUGCUUAACACAUGCAAGUCGAACGGAAAGGCCCUGCUUUUGUGGGGUGCUCGAGUGGCGAACGGGUGAGUAACACGUGAGUAACCUGCCCUUGACUUUGGGAUAACUUCAGGAAACUGGGGCUAAUACCGGAUAGGAGCUCCUGCUGCAUGGUGGGGGUUGGAAAGUUUCGGCGGUUGGGGAUGGACUCGCGGCUUAUCAGCUUGUUGGUGGGGUAGUGGCUUACCAAGGCUUUGACGGGUAGCCGGCCUGAGAGGGUGACCGGCCACAUUGGGACUGAGAUACGGCCCAGACUCCUACGGGAGGCAGCAGUGGGGAAUAUUGCACAAUGGGCGGAAGCCUGAUGCAGCAACGCCGCGUGCGGGAUGACGGCCUUCGGGUUGUAAACCGCUUUCGCCUGUGACGAAGCGUGAGUGACGGUAAUGGGUGAAGAAGCACCGGCUAACUACGUGCCAGCAGCCGCGGUGAUACGUAGGGUGCGAGCGUUGUCCGGAUUUAUUGGGCGUAAAGGGCUCGUAGGUGGUUGAUCGCGUCGGAAGUGUAAUCUUGGGGCUUAACCCUGAGCGUGCUUUCGAUACGGGUUGACUUGAGGAAGGUAGGGGAGAAUGGAAUUCCUGGUGGAGCGGUGGAAUGCGCAGAUAUCAGGAGGAACACCAGUGGCGAAGGCGGUUCUCUGGGCCUUUCCUGACGCUGAGGAGCGAAGGCGUGGGGAGCGAACAGGCUUAGAUACCCUGGUAGUCCACGCUGUAAACGGUGGGUACUAGGUGUGGGGUCCAUUCCACGGGUUCCGUGCCGUAGCUAACGCUUUAAGUACCCCGCCUGGGGAGUACGGCCGCAAGGCUAAAACUCAAAGGAAUUGACGGGGCCCCGCACAAGCGGCGGAGCAUGCGGAUUAAUUCGAUGCAACGCGUAGAACCUUACCUGGGUUUGACAUGGAUCGGGAGCGCUCAGAGAUGGGUGUGCCUCUUUUGGGGUCGGUUCACAGGUGGUGCAUGGCUGUCGUCAGCUCGUGUCGUGAGAUGUUGGGUUAAGUCCCGCAACGAGCGCAACCCUUGUUCACUGUUGCCAGCACGUUAUGGUGGGGACUCAGUGGAGACCGCCGGGGUCAACUCGGAGGAAGGUGGGGAUGACGUCAAGUCAUCAUGCCCCUUAUGUCCAGGGCUUCACGCAUGCUACAAUGGCUGGUACAGAGAGUGGCGAGCCUGUGAGGGUGAGCGAAUCUCGGAAAGCCGGUCUCAGUUCGGAUUGGGGUCUGCAACUCGACCUCAUGAAGUCGGAGUCGCUAGUAAUCGCAGAUCGGCAACGCUGCGGUGAAUACGUUCCCGGGGCU
RNAcentral lists this ribosomal RNA (1346 nucleotides) under uncultured bacterium. RNAcentral's name for it is "bacterial SSU rRNA". It matches the Rfam family "Bacterial small subunit ribosomal RNA", at positions 28 to 1381 of the family's 1533-position model. The record is from RNAcentral.